Molecule: ribosomal RNA, 646 nt
Filed under: Mrakia aquatica
Lineage: Eukaryota; Fungi; Basidiomycota; Tremellomycetes; Cystofilobasidiales; Mrakiaceae
Description: eukaryotic LSU rRNA
Rfam family: Eukaryotic large subunit ribosomal RNA
Source: RNAcentral
GCAUAUCAAUAAGCGGAGGAAAAGAAACUAACAAGGAUUCCCCUAGUAACGGCGAGUGAAGCGGGAUGAGCUCAAAUUUAAAAUCUUGCAGCCUCAGGUUGUACGAGUUGUAGUCUAGAGAAUCGUUUUCCGCGUUGGCCUGUGUACAAGUCCCUUGGAACAGGGCGUCAUAGAGGGUGAGAAUCCCGUCCUUGACACAGACUACCAAUGCUUUGUGAUGCGAUCUCGAAGAGUCGAGUUGUUUGGGAAUGCAGCUCAAAAUGGGUGGUAAAUUCCAUCUAAAGCUAAAUAUUGGCGAGAGACCGAUAGCGAACAAGUACCGUGAGGGAAAGAUGAAAAGCACUUUGGAAAGAGAGUUAAACAGUACGUGAAAUUGUUAAAAGGGAAACGAUUGAAGUCAGUCAUGCUCUCCGAGACUCAGCCGAUUCUGUCGGUGUACUUCUCGGUUGGCAGGCCAGCAUCAGUUUCGAUCUGUGGAAAAGGUUGGAGAGAAUGUGGCAUCUUCGGAUGUGUUAUAGCUCUCCUUCGAAUACAUAGAGCGGGACUGAGGAACGCAGCGUGCCCUUUAUUGGGUUGGCCUUCGGGUACAUACACGCUUAGGAUGCUGGCAUAAUGGCUUUAAACGACCCGUCUUGAAACACGGACC